AGGUUGCAGGAACAGCAACUCAUAUUCCGCUUGGGAACCCUGCAGCCCAAUGUUGAUCUUCGUUGCUACAGUUUCAAGUGACCAAGUGUGCUGUGCCCAGAUUCCACAUCAUGGCCUGUGAACUGGCGAGUGUGAAUAGUGCUUUAGAAGCCUUGCUGACAGUGUUCAAAAGAGCUGCGAGUCAUGACAGCGACAACUUGACUCUGAGCCGCAGUGAGCUCCAUCGUUUGAUUAUGACUGAGCUUCCUUUUUUGGUGGAGCCCAACUUUGAUAAACAUUUCGAGAGUUUCUUCCGGUGUAUGGAAGGUAAUCCUGGCAGUAAUGUCGAUUUUAAAGGGUUCAUGUGCCUGUUAGCGACUAUUGUGAUGUGCCGUGACCAAGAACUAUCCCAGUAACUACAUUAAUGCCGUGUGGAGUCAUCAGUAACAGCCACUGGAACCAUC
This is a long non-coding RNA of Rhincodon typus (whale shark), 443 nucleotides long. RefSeq lists it as uncharacterized. The transcript is spliced from 3 exons. The record is from RefSeq and is a predicted model, not a curated record. Lineage: Eukaryota; Metazoa; Chordata; Chondrichthyes; Orectolobiformes; Rhincodontidae.